Molecule: ribosomal RNA, 265 nt
Filed under: uncultured prokaryote
Description: partial 16S ribosomal RNA
Rfam family: Bacterial small subunit ribosomal RNA
Source: RNAcentral
UACGUAGGUGGCGAGCGUUAUCCGGAAUUAUUGGGCGUAAAGAGCGCGCAGGUGGUUGAUUAAGUCUGAUGUGAAAGCCCACGGCUUAACCGUGGAGGGUCAUUGGAAACUGGUCGACUUGAGUGCAGAAGAGGGAAGUGGAAUUCCAUGUGUAACGGUGAAAUGCGUAGAGAUAUGGAGGAACACCAGUGGCGAAGGCGGCUUCCUGGUCUGUAACUGACACUGAGGCGCGAAAGCGUGGGGAGCAAACAGGAUUAGAUACCCU